RNAcentral lists this non-coding RNA (94 nucleotides) under unclassified sequences. RNAcentral's name for it is "NiCo sequence". It matches the Rfam family "NiCo (Nickel/Cobalt) riboswitch aptamer". The record is from RNAcentral.
ACAGGACAAACUGAACAGGCGAUGAACCAUAAUGGUCAUGGGGCCGGGCUGCUGAAGCGGCAGCAGAUGUAGAGUUGACAUCUGCGGGACAGUU